CUGAGCAGUAGAAAUAUUACAGAGAAAGUGUGGGCUAAAUGACAGACAAUUCAUUGUAUUGUUGCAGGCAUUUUGCUGGAUAUUUUUAUGUGGGUAUGCAGAAAGUGAAAACUUAGCCUUGCUGACAUCCAACAGUUGACUGCUCAGCAUACUUUAAAAGGGUCAGCGUUCUUAUGUUUACUCCAUUUAACUGCCUCAUCUAAACGCCUCUUAAACAUAAUGACUAUCUGAUUCCACCACCUCCACAGGCAGUGAGUUCCAGAUGUUGCCUGAUUGUCUGGUUAUUCUCAGCUUUUUCGGCUAACUAUAGACUGUUCAUUACGUCAAUUGGCGUGCAAUGCUGCAAGGAACUCAACAGUGCAGUUAAAGCCCUCGCUUAACCUCUCACAGUUGAACCUACUCUUAGCUGCACAAGCACAAGUUUUGAUCAGCUUGUUCACCAGACCCUCCCUUUAUAUCGCAAGCUCUUAUGAUGUAGAGACCUCACUAUAGAGAAUCCUUCCAAUGGAGUUGCUAAAGAUCGAGGAACAUGUUUUAAUCAAAAUCAGAGAUGAAUGCUGUCUGCUCACUACUGCCCACAUCAUCCAAGAUUUCAAUGUAAUAAUUAAGAUAAGGAAAGAACAUAAUUUGUCCUUGUGAACAGCUUAUUUGAGUUAGAUAUCUUAUUGAAUGAAUGCGUGCAAGUUACAUAAGCACAGACCUAGAUAAGAUACCAGAAGACUUUCAGUAGAGGGUAAUUAUCUGCACUAUUCCUCAAUGUAUAAAGAUUUUAUACUGUAUAUGUUGUACACAUCAUAAUGUGGUAUAAUCAGGAAGAAGGUAGUAACUGCCUUCUUCCUCUUACUAAUGCAAGAUUAGUAGAAAUAAGUGCAAUUCUCUUUGACUUGAAGAAUUGGUGGUGUGAGUGAUUGUUUUCACCACAAUAUACUCAAAUUGGAAUAUUAACUGUUUGCACAAUAUAUAAUAAAGACAAAGAAUUGUACGCACACAAAAACAGACCCUCUGGCCCACCACAUCCAGCUCAACAUUUUUGCCUGUAUUAGGUGUCAUUCAUUCAAUGCCUUGCCUACUUGAGUCACUAUCUUAAUGUCUCUUAAGCACAAUGGUUAUAUAUAAAGCCACCACCUUUCCUGGCAACAAGUUCAGGAUAUUAACCACACUGUGUAAAAAAAAACACAUUUUCCUUCAUAUUUCCUUUAAACCCUAGAUCUAUGUGCCUUUAGUACUUCUACCAUGGGAAAAUAUUCUGAUGCUUUCGACCCUAUUGCAGCCACUUAUAAUUUUACAUUCCUCCCUCAGCAUUCUUCAUUCCAAAAAAAAAUCAAACCAAGCUAUCUGUUCUCCCCCCAUAACUACUGUCGUCCAAUCCAGGCGACAUCCUGAUGAAUCUCUUCUGUUCUCUCACUAGCAUAACCACAUCCUUCCUAUCGUCUGCUAACCAGAACUUCAAGUGUGUCUAACCCGCGUGUUGAAGGUUUCCAACGCAACAAACCAAAUGUUUAUAUUCUAUACCCUGAUCCAUGAAGGCAAAGAUCUUGUAUGUCUUCUUCACUAAUUAUUCCACAUUAAUUCAAAAACAAAACAUGAGAAUUACAUUAUCUUACAUUACCCUGUGCAAACCAGUACAGAAUUCCAUCAUGGUUUAAGAGGCUUAUGCCUACAAAUGAACAAUCAAAUUUCCAGAGUGAUUGUGACAACCUGCAUCAGCAUCAGGUUUCCCUUCUGAAAAAAAAAUAAAUCAAUUUCCAAUCACAGAAGAUGAAGCAUAGAAUAAAUGAAAUUAUGUGACCAAAUUUCUAGAAUCCAGCUAGCAUGGCACCAAUUCAUUAGACAACUAAUCAAAGCAGUAUCAAUUUGGGCAUUUGGUGGCAUAUGCUACUCAGGCUAUUUUCUUACUGAACUAGUAAAUAAGACGCCUGUCCUAAGGAUGCAAACUGCAACUUUAUAUCCUAUUAUCUUAAUUUGCGGAGUUAAUAUAAUAAAAUUGGAGUAAAUUAUUAGUUUCAGUAAUGAUGGCUAUGAAAUCAUUUGGAUACCUUCACUUAUAUGUUUUUGGGAAGGACAUUUGUAAGCUAUAACUAACUUAGUUAAUAAGUCACUCCAGAUCCACAGCACUUGACUGUGAACUACCACUUGGUUCAAAGGCAAUAACUGCUGCCCUUUAGGGCAGAAAAUUUAUCCCAUGCAUGAAAGAAGAAUUAGCAAGUUUCAGUUUUCUAACCAGCAUUCAAUACUAGAACUGCAUGUUAGCAUUAAAAAACUCAUCCAGGGCCUUGCAUUACCCAAAGGAAAAAAAAUACUCUUGGCAUUAUCAAUACCAUUUUCCUAUUAUUACUGUUUAACUGACUGGCUCUAACACAUCACUCAAAUGAACCUGUAAGCCAGAACGACAAAGAAACUAUGCAUAUAUUGGAAAUGGGCAUAAAACGUUCCUUCAACAAAAUCUAGCUGACAAUUUGAUGUCAAUGAGACGUCAAGAAUAUUAAGCUUGGCAGUUGAUACAAAUAUAUCAGCUGAAAAAAGAAAUCUAAAUGCAUUAAAUUUCUAUGAUCUAAUAUAGCAAUAUACUAUUAUCUGAAUCUACUAUUAAAAUUACCACAAAUACAACUGAUGUUACCUUUAAGUUUAGUUGAAUAACUAAUCCAAUGCUGAUUUUUUAAAAUUACUUUCUUGUUUUUGUCUGCAAAUCUUUAUUUCACAUCACAUUUCAUUCCAAUUCUAACUAAUUUUGUUAAAAAAAUUCCUGCAGUUUGUUAAGUUCCAGUACCUUUCGAUAUGUUUCUUGCUGUUUGUUUUUAGGCAAUGAUAUUUGCAAUUAAAUAAAUAAGUCCAAUGCAAAUGUAAGUGCGAAUUGAUUCGAUUUUAAUCCCAAAACUCAUGUAAAACGAAGUCUGUCAUGUUCUGACUUUCAAGUACUGAAUUGCCAAAGAGAACUGAAUUUGCAGUAGCUCAGAGAAGUUCAAGCCAACAUCAGCAUAGCUUUUUUAGUUUCGUCCUAGCUAGAGAUAAUCCAACAAAAAAAAGCUAACUUGUGCCAACAAAGAGUCAGAGGUGCUAAUUUUCUACUGUUAGAUAUUGGUAUUGAUUUUACUAUAUUGUAUUAGCAUAACAAGAACAGUAAGAAAAAGGAAUUUUAAACAUCAAAUUAUAUAUUACGCGCAUAUGAUUUUAAACACAAGCAUUUUUAUUUAAAACUCACAUUAUCACAAAGAAGUAAUGAUAAGUUAUUGUUUCCCUUUGUUAAUAUUCAUGUUAUCAGUGGUUUUGCAACUCCAUUAUUUUGAUGCAGUGGCAGCACAGCUGACAGCAUUCGAUAUUGGACUGGAACAUAUCAGAUUUAAUUUUACUCCAUUUUUCCUGUCUCAGGAUAGCAGUUACACUAUCCCUGAGAGACAGGUUACAUUCUCAUAGACGGCAGAGCUUUUUCAUAUCAAGGGUGUGAUCUUUAGUCAUUAAUAGGCAUUCAAACAUUGAUAUGUUACAGUAUUAAUAAUAGAUCAUGAAGUAACAAAAUAGAUGCUAAAAUGUUUUGCAUAUUGACUUGACAGACAAAGCAUUCCUUGCAAUGAACAAUAAUAUAAGUAUCUUGUCAACCUUCAUGGCAGCUAUAGUAAAUACUUUGAAUGCCAUCAGUUUUGACAGGGAACAUUGUAUAUGUCCUGAAAAUACAGACACUGGUUUAGUAUAUAAUGUAAUAUGCACUGUUUCAUUGUUUACACUUUCCUCAGAAUAGACCACGAAGGUCCAUAUAAUCUACAGGUGCAAUUAUCUAGAAAUGCCCUGUACCCUUCAGCUCAAAAUAUAUUUUCCAUGCAUGAUAAUAAAGGCACAGUGGUUCAAAAAAACUUAUCCUCUCCUCAAGUAAUUCACUUGAAGGUUUGACAAACCAACAUUGGAAUGAUGAAGAGACACAAAUUAAAAUGGUAACGCAGAGGUUAGCACAACUUUUUUACAGUGCCAGCAACCUGGGUUCAAUCCCUGCCACUGCCUGUAAGGAGUUUGUACAUUCUCCCCAUAACUGUGUGGGUUUCCUUUGGGUGUUUUGGUUUCCUUCCCCAGUAGUUGGAAGGUUAAUUGGUCAUUGUAAAUUGUCCCGUGAUUGGGCUCAGAUUAAAUCAGGGAAUUGCUGGGUGCCAUGGCUCAAAGACUGUUCCAUGCUGUAUUUCAAAAAAUAAAGUUUUAAAAAGUGUGUUCAGUGUCAAAACAGAUACAAAAAGUAAAAUGAAAGGAAAAACUGAAUUAAGAGAGAGUAAGAAGUAAUGAAACAAAUUAAAACUUCUUAUUUAUAAAAACUCCAAAAAGCAACAGCCCACAUUUUCAAGUGACUAUCUUCUGGGAUGAGUGACUCAUUGAAAAUGAUUAACAAUUGUCACAAAAAUUUAUUUUCCUUGUAAUAACCGGACUUAACUUUCUGUGGCUGGUGGUAGUUUUAGAUCCCAUGCAAAUAAAGCAAUUUCAUAACAGUCAAUGCAUUUCAAUGGUGAGGCAGAAAGCAAAAUACUUACGUUUGUGAAGCAAAUGUCAUCAGAGCUUUGUAACUCCAACAAUAGUUGGACGUAAGAAAGCAUGAAAUGAGUGCAGGAGUACGCUACAUGACCCUUCAAUCCUACUCUUGCAUCAUUUCAGUAAGGUCAUGGAUGAACUAGUCUGCCUCAGUUUCAACAAAAUUACUUUCAGUUUCUCUAAACUCCAGUGACUACUGAUCAGACUUGCUCCAUAGGACAAGCAGUUCAUCCCAGAAAUUCUCUGAACUGUUUGUCCCAAUAGAAAAUAUUGGCCUCCUGAAUUAGUGGUGCAAAACUCUUAUGAAGUACUCCAGGUGUAGCUCCACCAGGAACAUAUAGUUUUAACAAGACAUCCCUAAUUUUGUAGUCCAUCCCCAUUACAAUAUCUGCCAAUGUUCCAGUUGCCAUCCUCAUUACGUACAUGCAUGCUAAAUUUGUGUUUCUUGAACAAUUUUAAGCAGAUACAUCUGUACCACUUAAUCUUUCCAUUUAAGUAAUAUUCUGUUGGUCUAGUCCUACUGAAAAAGUAGAUUCACUCAUACCUAACUUCAUCUGCUGCAUUUCUCCCCUCUUACACAUCUAUAUCCUUUUGCAGACUCUGUAUCUGCUAUACAGCUUAUUUUGCCACUUAUCUCUAUUUCAUCAGAAAACUUGGCUGCAAUACACUCAGACCCUUUUCAAAUUAUUAUAGAUUGCAAGUAAUUGAGUCCCAGCAUUAAUCCUGUUCGAAAACAGUUUCAGCUUCUCAGCCUAUAAGUGACUUAUGUAUUAUUCUCUGUUUUCCAAUGAUUAACCUAUAAUCUAAACAUACUAAUAUACUAACAACAGCUCCCAUCCGCACACCCACCAUCCAACAAUGCCAUGAAACUCUUACCUUAUGCAGGAACGGUCUGUGUAUCAAAUUAUUAAAUUUCUUUUGGAAACCCAAACAUGUUAUGUCUACUACUUCACCUUUACACACAAUUUCCCUUUCAUUAAUCCACGUGGACUCUGUUUAUUGUCUUGUAACCAUUUAAUUUCUUGCUACUAUGUUUUUAUAAACAGAUUACAACAUUUUCCCAGUGACAGUUAGACUAGCUGGCAUAUAAUUUUCCUUCCUCUAUCUCCUUCCUUUCUUGAAUAGUUAUUGAAAUCUGGCAAUUAUCCAUGUAUGUACAUAAAUUGCAUCACACCUGACACUGUAAAACACUUUAUGCAUAAAUAAUUGCAAACAUCCUUAGCUUCAUUCUAAUUUUAAGGGCAAAAGCUGAUCUAUUAUCAACCAUACAAAUUCUCACAUAUUGAAUGCAGAGGUGCUAUUUAUUACACUUCUCUGAUUACGCCAGUUCCAGUAAAAAUAGAAGGCUGAAUUUUUCUGUCAGGGGUGAGACUAUAUCAUUUGUUACCAACCUCAAAGAUCUAGAAUUCUGCAGAAUAAACUUAGCCUUUUCUUGUGCUCGUUGCUGACGGGCAUCAGCCCAAGCAGAUUCCUGUUAUCCAGUAACAUUGGUGUCAUCAAGCUGGCCAUGCAAUCUCAGUGAUGAUUCUUACACCAGGAAGAAAAAUAUUUGAUGUUCUUUAAGUAUUUUUUUUACAUUCUAUAAGCAUAAAAAAUAUUUGAAUGCACAUUUAAUCAUAUAGUAGAAACCAGAAGAACAAAUUAUUUUAAAAUUUAAAUUAAAAAAUACUAAUUCCUGUUGCAAUAUUUGCCCCUAAAGAUUUACAAUUCACAUGCAUAUAAUUAUUUUUAGGACCAUAGUUUAUUGCUAAUUGUCAGGGUUAACAGCCUUAAGUAAUUAACUUGGACUUUAUAUGAUACAAUAUGAUAUUUUCAAGGCUUUUUGCAGCAAGAAUAUUUUGUUACUGCCUUGAGUUCUCAUCAGUUCAUUGAUUUCAUAGGAUUAUUAUAAAGAGAGCUGCAAAACAAGACUCUGUGGAUGAACAGGGAAUCACUGAUAGCAGUCUCUAGAUUUAUGUGUGUAAUUGCAGAUGUGCAGGCUGCAAACUCCAGAAGCUACCAUCAGGCUUACAGUAUAACAGCAGUGAAUGCCAAUAAUAUGACUGUAAUUACAACCAAAAAAUCAAGCCUAUUAUUUUUAAAUGACAAAAUGCCCUUACAGAUUAACUUCAAUCAAUUCACUUUGACUAUAAUUGCUAUUACUCUUGAUUUAAAAUUCCACCUGAAAAGUCCAAAGCGUCACAAUUAGAAAGCGGUGAAAUACAACAUAAUAUCACUACCUAUAAUUAUGCGUAUCCUGUCAAUGGAGUCUCACUUUCCAUCAGAUAAUACAGUAUGUUAAGGAAAUAUCUUGUAGCAUAGUCUGAAAUCUGAAGCAUGGUGCUGCUAAAUAGUUUGGUUUUAUCCCUAACAAGUGAAUGGGAAAUAAGGGGAACACUGGGAUCAAUAGCUGGUAGCUGGAACAAGUGGGAAGCAGAAGAAAUCGGGGGAAAGAAUAUCCCAAAAUAAAGGUAAAGAUCCAGGCAGCAGAGCACAGAAUUGAGGCUGGUGAGGAAAGAAACCAAUGACCAGAAUAUGACCAAGGACGAGCCAAGGUAACCAGCACUGCGACAGGAGGUGAGAGUAAAUCAAAGUACAAACGUAGAAGGCAGCUUUGGGGCAGAAGAGUGAAAGAAGCAGCCAGCAAGAUUAAAAGGGGAGAGUUGGGAUAGGGUGAGGCUGGGUAGGGAAAUAAAGUGCUGAGAGCCAGAUGUGGAUCACAGAAAGGAACAGUGAAAAGGUUGGAAGGGGCUGCUGUCCAAAAAAACUUUUUUUUUUGUUUAUUUACCCACUCUACUGUCUUAUCUUCCCCUACCCUUAUGUCUUGCCCAUCACCUGUUAACCACCUCCUUCACUUUAUUCUAAAUCCUCCCCUAUAAGAUUCCUUCAGCCCUUUACCUCUUCCACCUAUCACCUUCCAGCUUCUCACAUCAUCCACCCUCGGCCACCCACCCACCUAACUUUUUCCUCACCUGGUCUCAUCUAUCACCUGGCCCUACUUUUUUAUUCUGGCUUCUGCCCCCCUUCCUUCCCAGUCAUGAUGAAGGGUCACAGCUCAAAAUGUCAACUGUUCAUUUCCCUCCAUGAAUGCUCCCUGACAAGUUGAGUUUCUCUCGCAUUUUUAUUUUAUAUUUUUAUUUAGUGAUGCAGCACAAUAACAGGCUCUUCUGGCUCAAGAAGCUCACGCAGCACAAUUACACCCAUGUGAUCAAUUAGUCUACUAACCCACAUGUCUUUACAGUAUGGGAGCACCCAGAGGAAACCCAGGUGGUCACUGGGUGAACACACAUAUUUCUGACAGGUAGCUGCAGAACUGAACCAGGAUUGUUUGCACUGUAAUAGUGUUACACCAGCUGCUAAACCGCCAUGCUGCCCUUGUGUGUGUUGCUCGAGAUCUCCAGUAUCUGCAGUAUCUCUUGUGCAUCUGUCUCCUGUUAUGAUCCCAGCCCCCUCCUUUGUGAGAAUCGCAAGAACACCCGUCGAGGGGUGGGGUCAGUAGACCCAGGAAGUGAGAGAGAGAGAAACGUGCAAAAUUGCACGUCCCACCCGGGAUACAGAAUAAGAUGCCAGCGACUGUUGUCUCAUGGAGACCACUUGAAAAGCCCUCGGGCAAGGUGGGCUGGUUGAGAGAGAGAUUGCAUCAUCCCAACCUGAUUGACACCUGCGACCCCGUGAGGAAGUAUAAAGGGGAGUCUCGGGGGGGGGGUACAACCCCUCAGACGCACCCAGAAGACACGAGAGAGUGAUCCCGCAGCAGCGGGAAGCCAUUUUGAAGGAAGCCACGUGCGUUAGAUUCCGGGAUUGGAAUUUGUGGCUGGAAUCACAGAAAACUAACAUCGCUUUUAACUAACAUCGGGGAGAGGGAACCAACGCUCCCCCGAUUUCACGGAAGAUUCAUCAAGACUCGGCAAGUUCUUUCUCUUCUCCCCCAAUCUCUCUCUCUCGGUCACCCCACGUGAAACCCAGCGAUUUUCAAAAGGCUGAGGCCUGCAGCCUUCUGAGUGACUUUUAUAUUUCCAACGGACAAUCUAUUAACCCCUAGACAUCAGCAGAGCUCACUUCUUAAUGAUGGUUAUUAAUAUACCCGCGCUUUAGAUUGAGUGUUGACAAUGUGCACUAUCUGAAUGUAUGUAUUAACCCUACUUUUGUGUCCCUUUAUGAAUAAAACGUUUGAAAAUAGUGACAUCAGACUUCAACGGACCUCUCUAUCUUUGCUGGUAAGUUCUCCAGUUAUGGGAUUCAUAACAGUUGGGGUUCUUGUCUCGGGAUUUGACACCAAAUUGGGAGACCAGUGAAUCGGGCUUGUAAAUCAAAAACUUGAAUCUAGUUACGCGGGUAGCCAGACGGGAAACCAGCAAAGAUGGACGUGGGUGAAUUUAUGGAAAACCCAACGGUGAGGGCGCUAGAGGCGGCCACAAAAUCAGACGUUAAAUUUAGCGAAGGGGUUGAACCUCACAGAAGUGAGGUCGUCCAUGAAAAAGCGGGAGGUACGAAGGGCCAUAACCCAGUAUUACAUUGGGAAGAAGGUGUUUGAAGCUGAGGUAUUGGGAGAUAUCCCUGAAGAGGUACCAUCAAGUGGGAUGGUUCAGUUAGAGGUGGAGAAAUUGAAGUUGGAACAUGAAAUUAAGUUAAGAGAGCUGGAAGCGGCAGAGAGAGAGAGGGAAAGGCAAAGGCAGCAUGAAAUUCACCUAAAGAAGCUAGAAGCAGAAGAGAAAGAGAGAGAACGGGCCGAGAAAGAGAAACAGAGGCAACAUGACUGGGAAAUUGAGAAGAUGAAGAACGAGCGAAGAGAUCAAGGGUUAGACCAAGCAGAGCGGUUUAAUGUUAGUAGGGAGUUGAGAUUAGUGCCCCUGUUCGAGGAGACAGAUGUCGAUAGCUAUUUCUUGCUUUUUGAAAAGGUGGCAGUAAAUCAGAAGUGGCCAAAAGAGCAGUGGGUGGCGUUGUUACAAAGUGUGUUAAAGGGGAAGGCCCAACGAGCAUAUGCGGCCUUGUCCCUGGAGGAGGGAGGAGCGGAGAAUUAUGAUGAGGUAAAAAAGGUCAUUCUCCGGACUUACAAAUUGGUACCUGAGGCCGAUAGACAAAGGUUUAGAAAUUUAAGGAAAGGGUGGAAUCAGACGUAUACCGAGCUAGCCCAUGAGAAGGGGGUGCUCUUGGACCAUUGGUGCACUGCGGAAAGAGUGGGCGAGGAUUAUGGGUGUCUCAGGGAGAUGUUUUUGAUUGAGGAAUUUAAAAGUUGUGUUCCGGAGGAGAUCCGGGUGUAUUUGAAUGAGAAGCAGGAUAAGUCCAUUUCAGAAUUUGCCAGGUUGGCGGACGAAUAUGUCCUAACCCACAAGACAAAGACUCCCUCGAAUUAAGGUCCCCAGAGAGACCGUGGGAACGAUCGAGAAAGUCCGACGAGUGAGGCAGAGGUCCCACCGGGAGCUAGCGGUAAGGUUGAGGGGGAAAGGCAAGACGGCCAGAGGGCUCCGGGUUUGACCUGUUUUAAUUGUGGAAAGGAGGGGCACAUUGCAUCUCGAUGCUUUGCUCCGAGGAAGGAGAUAGGAAGAGGGAAAACCACAGUCCCUAUCAGGUGUGCCGUGGUAAUCAGCAAAUUGACCAGAGAGCCGAGGGUAGACAGAGUACGAGAAGGCUCUGGGAGUUGUCUGUCACACGGAACCGUAUCUGUGAUGGAUGGAGACACACCAGUUCCCGUACGAAUCUGGAGGGAUACGGGCUCUGAAUUAUCCCUGGUUAGCCGUAAGGUACUAGAAUUUGGUCGGGAAACAGGCAUGGUAAAGGUGGAAGGAAUAAAUAAACGGAUAGAAAUGGUGCCCUUAUAUAAGGUCAUUCUGGAUUGUGAGCUGGUGUAUGGAUCAGUUGAAGUGGGGGUGCCCUCAGAAUUCCAGAGAGCUGACGUGGACAUCCUGCUGGGGAACGACUUAGCGGGGGUAAGGUUUGGUCAGCCAUGCUGCUGACCUGGCGACCGGCGAGUACGGUGGCCCCGUCCCUAGCGUCCAAGGACCAUCUGGCCGGCGCGGUCACUUGCAGUCUGUCGAGAGAGAGAGCUGUGAAUGAGAGCAGUUUAAAUCUGGCCAGUUUUGAUUUGGCCGAGACGUCUUUGCCGACCCUGUGCCAUGAGGGUUUCGAGGGUGGUAAGACGAAGAGUAGUAAAGUGAAAGGGGGUAAGGGAGAGGAGAUAGAUCUGCCUUUAGCGAAGAGAAAGGUCCUAAAGGUAGGAGAUAAAGAUGAGAAACAGAUAAAGCUGUUGAAAGGUCCAGAGUUGGGCAUGGAUGAUCUGUCUGGUUUGGCAGAAUUGUUUGAAGAACUUCAGAGUUCUAAAGGUGUUCCCGAUAAUGAGAGGAGGGCAGUCCUAGAUGGAAAGGAUACCCUUGCCUCGAAGAGGUCUGCUGAAAGGGCUGAGGAGGUUGUUUCAGCUGGCAGGGUUGCGCCUUCCCCGGGUGGGAGCUGCCCAGAGAGUAACUGGGAGGAUCGGGGGAAGUUAGAAUUUGAAAAAGGUACGGGUGUUGAAAGCCUGGAAGAGGCCAAUGUCCCGUUUGAGUGUGUCCGAGAUGGGAAUGUCCGAGGUGCUGAACCUAGUAACGGAGCUCAGAAGAAGUUCAGUGGAACGGGGCGGCCGUCCUUGUGGGUCAGAUGGACUCGGUUCAGUGGGAAAAGGGUUAACCUUGGUAACCGGGGAAAGUGUGAGUUCCCCGACGUCUGUACUCGAAGGAGUGUUCAAAGUUAAUGCAGAAUUUAAGAAUGGGGGGGGGGGGUGAGGAUUGUUGGCGAAGGAAACAAAAAGUCUGUAGUUUCCAAAUCGAAGGAAGAAAUCUUAAACCUGGCAGAUCGCUCACAGAGUGAGCAGGGGAAUAGCAGGGCCCCCCGCUCUAUUGUUAUGCCAGGAUGGGGUGUGAAAAGGCUGCCUUCGACAGGCUACUUGAGCGAAGAGUUCGAAUCAAACACCAAUAGCCUGAAGAGGACUGAUAAAAGGGCCAGCCACCUGGGUAAAAUCAAAGAGUUGGGUGGAAAUGGUCUAAGUCUGGGGCAUGGUGUUGCUAAAAUAACCCCGAUGAGCGGGGCGGGCGGGAGUUCACCGCGCAAAACUACUCAAGUUCCCCACGGGGGGGCUCGCCGAAAAAGAGGCGAUGGUUAAUGGGGAUGCUAUUGUUAGACAGCCAAGCAGGUUGAACGGGUUUGCGCCAAAGCCUGUGAAUAAUAAAGACAGCCCCUUUGGAGACCUGCCGGUUAAGUUAAACGACUGAAACGAUUAGUAUUCGCGUAAACUUCUGUAAAUGCCCCUAAGCUAAGGUCACACCUCCUUAGUUUUGUUACUUAAGAAAAAAAAAUUAAAUAGGUGGUUAUUGAAUUGAAGUCUGAUGUACAGUUCGCAAUGUUAAGAUAUUAAAGAAAGGGACACUGUAAUCGUUAACUAUUUAGAUACUGACUUGAAUGUAUAACGGUAGUAUUUUGUGAAAAGAAAAACUUGUGUAUUGUGUUAGAUCCAAAACUCCUGUAAGACCGUGGACCACUCCGUUUUAACCGCUGGUAAAAACGUUUUUUAAGAGGGGAGGUGUUAUCAUCCCAGCCCCCUCCUUUGUGAGAAUCGCAAGAACACCCAUCGAGGGGUGGGGUCAGUAGACCCAGGAAGUGAGAGAGAGAGAAACGUGCAAAAUUGCACAUCCCACCCGGGAUACAGAAUAAGAUGCCAGCGACUAUUGUCUCAUGGAGACCACGUGAAAAGCCCUCGGGCAAGGUGGGCUGGUUGAGAGAGAGAUUGCAUCAUCCCAACCUGAUUGACACCUGCGACCCCGUGAGGAAGUAUAAAGGAGAGUCUCGGGGGGACUGCCCCUCAGACGCACCCAGAAGACACGAGAGAGUGAUCCCGCAGCAGCGGGAAGCCAUUCUGAAGGAAGCCACGUGCGUUAGAUUCCGGGAUUGGAAUUUGUGGCUAGAAUCACAGAAAACCGCUUUUAACUAACAUCGGGGAGAGGGAACCAACGCUCCCCCGAUUUCAUGGAAGAUUCAUCAAGACUCGGCAAGUUCUUUCUUUUCUCCCCCAAUCUCUCUCUCUCGGUCGCCCCAAGUGAAACCCAGCGAUUUUCAAAGGGCUGAGGCCUGCAGCCUUCUGAGUGACUUUUAUAUUUCCAACGGACAAUCUAUUAACCCCUAGACAUCAGCAGAGCUCACUUCUUAAUGAUGAUUAUUAAUAUACCCGCACUUUAGGUUGAGUGUUGACAAUGUGCACUAGCUGAAUGUAUGUAUUAACCCUACUUUUGUGUCCCUUUAUGAAUAAAACGUUUGAAAAUAGUGACAUCAGACUUCAACGGACCUCUCUAUCUUUGCUGGUAAGUUCUCCAGUUACGGGAUUCAUAACACUCCAUAAACAGAAAGAGAGAGAGAGGGUGAGGAAAGGAGGAGGGGGAGGAGAGAGAGGGGGGAGAGGGAGAGGGGGAGGAGGAGAGAGAGAGAGGAGGAGGGAGAGGGGAGAGACAGAGACAGACAGACAGACACACACACACACAAUGGCCUUACAAGUUUAAGAGCCAGGGUUGAGGAAAAUGCACCUCCCUGAAUGUGAUAUCCAGUAAAUGGUUGUAGGUAGGGAGAAAAUAUUUCUGUUUGUUCCAUCACCAGACUAAUUUGUGCUGCAAGACAGGAAUGACUUUACACAAGAUAACCAGUGGAUUCCAUUUUUUCCGCAGUUAUUAUUAUCAUUUCCUUCUUAGUGAAUAUAUAAAAUAAGUUAGGCAUAUUGUUCACUCUGGUGUACUUAGCAAUUUUCUUUUUAACAUCUUUUGGUUAAUCUCACCAGUUCCAAAAUUUCUGGUCAAAAUUUGGCUCUUUCUUUCGCCUUCUGUUCAAAAACAAUAUUCGCAGCCUACUUCAUGAGUACGGUUACCAAAAUGAGCAAGUACAAACAAGCUUCAGGGCUGCCUAUACAACUGUAGACAAUAGAGGCAGUAUGUAUAAGGUUCCAGGUGGCACAGCGAGCAAUGUGCAGCCUCAGAGCACCAGCAAUCUAACUUCAAUGUUGACUUUUUGUACAGUCUAUGUGGAAUUUGCAUGAUCUCCUUGUGCUCUGGACUCCCCUCCCAAGGUAUCCUGGUAUCCACCCAUAUCCCAAAGGUGCAUGGGUUAAGUUGCCCUGAGAUGAGUGAUACAAGCCAGGUUUAGGGAAGGGUGAUUGAAGUAUGGAGAGCUGGUAUACACUCGAUGAUCCUAAAGGUCUCUUAUCCAUAUCAUGACCAAAUAAUGCAAUCCAGCUUGAUUUUGCAUUGUAAUGUACCUCAUACAAUUCUCCAGAAAAUCUAGCUUGAUGCUCUUAGGUUAUA
Molecule: RNA transcript, 13793 nt
Organism: Hypanus sabinus (Atlantic stingray)
Lineage: Eukaryota; Metazoa; Chordata; Chondrichthyes; Myliobatiformes; Dasyatidae
Gene name: E3 ubiquitin-protein ligase BRE1A-like
Exons: 4
Source: RefSeq, a predicted model, not a curated record